Molecule: small nucleolar RNA, 213 nt
Filed under: Rhodnius prolixus
Lineage: Eukaryota; Metazoa; Arthropoda; Insecta; Hemiptera; Reduviidae
Description: small nucleolar RNA U3
Rfam family: Small nucleolar RNA U3
About the family: Small nucleolar RNAs (snoRNAs) are involved in the processing and modification of rRNA in the nucleolus. There are two main classes of snoRNAs: the box C/D class, and the box H/ACA class.
Source: Rfam by way of RNAcentral
AAGACCUUACUUCUACAGGAUCAUUUCUGCAGUAAGAGGUCGAUUGCAAAUAAUGUCAAAUUUUGCGAAAAUAGAAACCAUGAUGAGGAAUCAUAGUGUUCUUCCUUGAGCGUGAGAAAGGUUGUUUGAAUCUCUUGUAGAUUCGAACAGUCAUCGAUGAUCGCUGGUACUUUCGUUAGCAGAUGUUCUUGGGAAGAACACCUUCUGAGUGGU